GGGUUGUGAGGUUAAGCGACUAAGCGUACACGGUGGAUGCCCUGGCAGUCAGAGGCGAUGAAGGACGUGCUAAUCUGCGAUAAGCGUCGGUGAGGUGAUAUGAACCGUUAUAACCGGCGAUUUCCGAAUGGGGAAACCCAGUGUGUUUCGACACACUAUCAUUAACUGAAUCCAUAGGUUAAUGAGGCGAACCGGGGGAACUGAAACAUCUAAGUACCCCGAGGAAAAGAAAUCAACCGAGAUUCCCCCAGUAGCGGCGAGCGAACGGGGAGGAGCCCAGAGCCUGAAUCAGUGUGUGUGUUAGUGGAAGCGUCUGGAAAGGCGCGCGAUACAGGGUGACAGCCCCGUACACAAAAAUGCACAUAUUGUGAGCUCGAUGAGUAGGGCGGGACACGUGGUAUCCUGUCUGAAUAUGGGGGGACCAUCCUCCAAGGCUAAAUACUCCUGACUGACCGGUAGUGAACCAGUACCGUGAGGGAAAGGCGAAAAGAACCCCGGCGAG
Molecule: ribosomal RNA, 502 nt
Filed under: Escherichia coli
Lineage: Bacteria; Pseudomonadati; Pseudomonadota; Gammaproteobacteria; Enterobacterales; Enterobacteriaceae
Description: bacterial LSU rRNA
Rfam family: Bacterial large subunit ribosomal RNA
Source: RNAcentral